This is a long non-coding RNA of Suricata suricatta (meerkat), 498 nucleotides long. RefSeq lists it as uncharacterized. NCBI's taxonomy places the organism in Eukaryota, Metazoa, Chordata, Mammalia, Carnivora, Herpestidae. The transcript is spliced from 3 exons. The record is from RefSeq and is a predicted model, not a curated record.
CUGCAGCUCCCCCGCCAACUCUGCAACCAGCAGUGCUCGGAGAUCCUCCAUUCUUCUACAACAAACAAAACAUCACCUGAGAAACAAGGCAGACUGUGAAGACAGAAAACUCAGACCCCCUCCACAAUCUCCUCCCCUGACAUCCGCUCAAGCAGGGCGUUCUUCCUGGGAAGCCUGACCCGAGACACUUUGGCACGUUGCAUUGGCGGCAGAAGUCGCUGCACCAGAACCAUCCCAUCCUACUGCUAACACAGGACCUUGUUUACUCACCACAAUUACGACUCUGUGUGUGGUCCCCUGGGGGCGUGUGUGGCUCCCCACUACCCUGUAAGCUGCAUGAACUCGGGGCCUGGUCUGUCUUCUCGUACAAUGUAUCCUCACAGCUACAUCACCAAGAGGCACUCAAGUACCUGGUAAAUGGAUUAACAGGUUCUACAUGUACAGGGCUGUUGUGGAGAUUAAAUGAGAUAAUACAUGUAAAGUGCUUACCUUGGUCAA